This 1489-nucleotide ribosomal RNA is filed under the name Lactiplantibacillus plantarum. RNAcentral describes it as "bacterial SSU rRNA". It matches the Rfam family "Bacterial small subunit ribosomal RNA". The record is from RNAcentral. Lineage: Bacteria; Bacillati; Bacillota; Bacilli; Lactobacillales; Lactobacillaceae.
GACGAACGCUGGCGGCGUGCCUAAUACAUGCAAGUCGAACGAACUCUGGUAUUGAUUGGUGCUUGCAUCAUGAUUUACAUUUGAGUGAGUGGCGAACUGGUGAGUAACACGUGGGAAACCUGCCCAGAAGCGGGGGAUAACACCUGGAAACAGAUGCUAAUACCGCAUAACAACUUGGACCGCAUGGUCCGAGUUUGAAAGAUGGCUUCGGCUAUCACUUUUGGAUGGUCCCGCGGCGUAUUAGCUAGAUGGUGGGGUAACGGCUCACCAUGGCAAUGAUACGUAGCCGACCUGAGAGGGUAAUCGGCCACAUUGGGACUGAGACACGGCCCAAACUCCUACGGGAGGCAGCAGUAGGGAAUCUUCCACAAUGGACGAAAGUCUGAUGGAGCAACGCCGCGUGAGUGAAGAAGGGUUUCGGCUCGUAAAACUCUGUUGUUAAAGAAGAACAUAUCUGAGAGUAACUGUUCAGGUAUUGACGGUAUUUAACCAGAAAGCCACGGCUAACUACGUGCCAGCAGCCGCGGUAAUACGUAGGUGGCAAGCGUUGUCCGGAUUUAUUGGGCGUAAAGCGAGCGCAGGCGGUUUUUUAAGUCUGAUGUGAAAGCCUUCGGCUCAACCGAAGAAGUGCAUCGGAAACUGGGAAACUUGAGUGCAGAAGAGGACAGUGGAACUCCAUGUGUAGCGGUGAAAUGCGUAGAUAUAUGGAAGAACACCAGUGGCGAAGGCGGCUGUCUGGUCUGUAACUGACGCUGAGGCUCGAAAGUAUGGGUAGCAAACAGGAUUAGAUACCCUGGUAGUCCAUACCGUAAACGAUGAAUGCUAAGUGUUGGAGGGUUUCCGCCCUUCAGUGCUGCAGCUAACGCAUUAAGCAUUCCGCCUGGGGAGUACGGCCGCAAGGCUGAAACUCAAAGGAAUUGACGGGGGCCCGCACAAGCGGUGGAGCAUGUGGUUUAAUUCGAAGCUACGCGAAGAACCUUACCAGGUCUUGACAUACUAUGCAAAUCUAAGAGAUUAGACGUUCCCUUCGGGGACAUGGAUACAGGUGGUGCAUGGUUGUCGUCAGCUCGUGUCGUGAGAUGUUGGGUUAAGUCCCGCAACGAGCGCAACCCUUAUUAUCAGUUACCAGCAUUAAGUUGGGCACUCUGGUGAGACUGCCGGUGACAAACCGGAGGAAGGUGGGGAUGACGUCAAAUCAUCAUGCCCCUUAUGACCUGGGCUACACACGUGCUACAAUGGAUGGUACAACGAGUUGCGAACUCGCGAGAGUAAGCUAAUCUCUUAAAGCCAUUCUCAGUUCGGAUUGUAGGCUGCAACUCGCCUACAUGAAGUCGGAAUCGCUAGUAAUCGCGGAUCAGCAUGCCGCGGUGAAUACGUUCCCGGGCCUUGUACACACCGCCCGUCACACCAUGAGAGUUUGUAACACCCAAAGUCGGUGGGGUAACCUUUUAGGAACCAGCCGCCUAAGGUGGGACAGAUGAUUAGGGUG